AUUGAACGCUGGCGGCAGGCCUAACACAUGCAAGUCGAGCGGAUGAAGGGAGCUUGCUCCUGGAUUCAGCGGCGGACGGGUGAGUAAUGCCUAGGAAUCUGCCUGGUAGUGGGGGAUAACGUCCGGAAACGGGCGCUAAUACCGCAUACGUCCUGAGGGAGAAAGUGGGGGAUCUUCGGACCUCACGCUAUCAGAUGAGCCUAGGUCGGAUUAGCUAGUUGGUGGGGUAAAGGCCUACCAAGGCGACGAUCCGUAACUGGUCUGAGAGGAUGAUCAGUCACACUGGAGCUGAGACACGGUCCAGACUCCUACGGGAGGCAGCAGUGGGGAAUAUUGGACAAUGGGCGAAAGCCUGAUCCAGCCAUGCCGCGUGUGUGAAGAAGGUCUUCGGAUUGUAAAGCACUUUAAGUUGGGAGGAAGGGCAGUAAGUUAAUACCUUGCUGUCUUGACGUUACCAACAGAAUAAGCACCGGCUAACUUCGUG
This 484-nucleotide ribosomal RNA is filed under the name uncultured bacterium. RNAcentral describes it as "partial 16S ribosomal RNA". It matches the Rfam family "Bacterial small subunit ribosomal RNA", at positions 30 to 507 of the family's 1533-position model. The record is from RNAcentral.